CAGGGCCGACGGUCCGUCGCGUGCACUUCCUGUAGAGUGCAUGAGGAAAGUCCGGGCAACACAGAGCACCACACUCCCCUCGGGGAGGCCGCAGAAAUGUGGCAGCAGUGUGACAGAAAAUAACCACCGCCCCUCAGAGGUGCGGCAAGGGUGAAAAGGCGGUGUAAGAGACCACCGGGCCGGAUGGCGACAUUCGGUGCCGCACACCUUGUGGGUUGCAAGGUCAAGUAUACCGGCAUUCAAGGGCUGCUCGUCCAUUGCCGGGGGGUAGACUGCGCAAGAUAAAUGACGGACGGUAAGGGACCGGUCAGCCCUCGGGCUGAAACCCUCCCCCCACAUAACCUGGCUUACACUCGGCUCUCCCUG
RNAcentral lists this RNase P RNA (366 nucleotides) under Muribaculaceae bacterium. RNAcentral describes it as "RNase P RNA component class A". It matches the Rfam family "Bacterial RNase P class A". Rfam says of the family: Ribonuclease P (RNase P) is a ubiquitous endoribonuclease, found in archaea, bacteria and eukarya as well as chloroplasts and mitochondria. Its best characterised activity is the generation of mature 5'-ends of tRNAs by cleaving the 5'-leader elements of precursor-tRNAs. The record is from RNAcentral. Lineage: Bacteria; Pseudomonadati; Bacteroidota; Bacteroidia; Bacteroidales; Muribaculaceae.